Molecule: ribosomal RNA, 274 nt
Filed under: uncultured bacterium
Lineage: Bacteria
Description: partial 16S ribosomal RNA
Rfam family: Bacterial small subunit ribosomal RNA
Source: RNAcentral
AUACGUAGGGAGCAAGCGUUGUCCGGAUUUACUGGGUGUAAAGGGCGCGUAGGCGGACUUGUUAGUCAGAGGUGAAAUCCUGCGGCUUAACCGUAGAACUGCCUUUGAUACUGCAAGUCUUGAGUUCGGAAGAGAGAGAUGGAAUUCCAGGUGUAGUGGUGAAAUACGUAGAUAUCUGGAAGAACACCAGUGGCGAAGGCGGUCUCUUGGUCCGUAACUGACGCUGAGGCGCGAAAGCGUGGGGAGCAAACAGGAUUAGAUACCCUAGUAGUCC